This 433-nucleotide ribosomal RNA is filed under the name uncultured bacterium. RNAcentral's name for it is "partial 16S ribosomal RNA". It matches the Rfam family "Bacterial small subunit ribosomal RNA", at positions 29 to 507 of the family's 1533-position model. The record is from RNAcentral.
AACGAACGCUGGCGGCAUGCCUAACACAUGCAAGUCGAACGAGACCUUCGGGUCUAGUGGCGCACGGGUUCGUAACGCGUGGGAACCUGCCUCUAGGUUCGGAUUAACUCAGAGAAAUUUGAGCUAAUACCGGCUGAUGUCUUCGGACCAAAGAUUUAUCGCCUUUAGAUGGGCCCGCGUUGGAUUAGCUAGUUGGUGGGGUAAAGGCCUACCAAGGCGACGAUCCAUAGCUGGUCUGAGAGGAUGAUCCGCCACACUGGGACUGAGACCCGGCCCAGACUCCUACGGGAGGCAGCAGUGGGGAAUAUUGGACAAUGGGCGAAAGCCUGAUCCAGCAAUGCCGCGUGAGUGAUGAAGGCCUUAGGGUUGUAAAGCUCUUUUAACCGAGAUGAUAAUGACAGUAUCGGGAGAAUAAGCGCCGGCUAACUCCGUG